UGGUACGAUCGUACCAGCACUAAUGCACUAGAUCCCAUCAGAAUUCAGCAGUUAAGCGUGCUUGGGCGAGAGUAAUACUACGAUGGGUGACCUCCUGGGAAGUCAUCGUGUUGCACCUC
RNAcentral lists this ribosomal RNA (119 nucleotides) under Lupinus angustifolius (narrow-leaved blue lupine). Lineage: Eukaryota; Viridiplantae; Streptophyta; Magnoliopsida; Fabales; Fabaceae. The record is from RNAcentral.